Non-coding RNA from Podarcis muralis (Common wall lizard), 2482 nucleotides. The record is from RefSeq and is a predicted model, not a curated record. Lineage: Eukaryota; Metazoa; Chordata; Lepidosauria; Squamata; Lacertidae.
UUUUGCGUUUGAGCUGAUGCAAGAUGGAGGGCUUGAAAAACCAAAACCAAGGCCAGAAGACAUCGUAAACUGCGACUUAAAGUCAACUCUGAGGGUGCUGUACAAUCUGUUCACCAAAUACAGAAACUUGGAAUGAAGAAGUCCCUUGGGAUCCCACAGGUGGCUAAGUAAGGAACCAACCAACUCAACAGCCACUCCUGUUUUGCAAUCGUUCUUUUACUUGUGUACUAUACUUCCUUCACAUGUUCCAUAUUCUUGCUAUGUUUGUUUUGCACAAAAAAAUGUUUUAAAUUAGAUCUUGUCUGCAGUCCAAAAUAUUAUGAAGUGAACCUCUGCUGGAAGAUGCAUAUUCCUUUGUUUUUACUAGCUCUUGAUUUCUUGGAGAGCAAGCAAGAAAGCCUGAUCCCACAUCCAGGUUAAGAGAAACAAACUGAUUUUGAUAGAAAUGCCAGCCUCUUCCUAUGAGCUAUGCUGCCACAAUAACCAAGAAGAUCACAUGACACAGGUCUGUGCACUACUACAUGGUGAAUGUGCUAUCUUCUUCUGCGGGAUCCUCUCUAAGCCAAAGAAUAGGUAUGCCUGCUGUCUCUGGUGCUUUGGCAGCUGCUGCUGCUGCUUUCUAUACAUUACUCAGCUAUGCUACACAAAGGACAUAAUCAGCCCAGAAAGAGGAGAGUUCUUUCUCAAUGUGCUUAGCUCUUCAUCAAGACAAGCUGGACUAGCAGCAGAACUGUGUUGCUCCCAUAUAUCAAGGUAGCCAGGGACUCUCCCCUGUCCCCCGGGUGUCAUUUUAGAUUGUGGUGCAAACUGCUGCUUUUAAGAAGUAGAUGCUCAGUUGUUCCAUAGAAUCAAUCAGAUCAAAAUGCUUCAGUUUAAUUAAGUUGUGGAUUGAGCUGCAGGACAUUUUCUCUGUCUGUGUUUAUUGAAUAUUUAUUUCAAAGAAAAGAUCCAUUGUAUUCCUAAUGAGAUGUAUGAGCACUAUUACAAAGAUCAUGGAGAAUGUAAGAGAGACAGACACCAUAGGUGGCGUAAUGCAAACUGAGCUAUGAAACUGAGCUUCAUAAUUUGACUGACGCGGCUUAUAAGGGUCCAGGUAUGUGUCCCCUGUGCAUACAUUCCUCAUCAUUUUUCAUUCCUUACAAGCUCGCAGAUCAUGCAGCUGUCCUUUAACUACAGUGCAUUUAAAAUAACCUGCAACAUGUAGUAUUUUUUACAAUGUGAUACUCUUGCCUAGUUGCAAACGCUGUGGUACAAAGUAUGUAGAUAGUUUCAGUAUGGAAACUCUUUUUGCAACAAAGCACAUAGUAAGUCAAUGCAGUGGGCUUCUGGGCUAGAAUCCAGGUGGGAUCAGCCCUGCCAGGAUAUUGACAUAAGCUUUGUUUACAUAAUUGAAACGAAACAUAAAAUGAUGUAAUUGGUACAAGUAAGAAACAGCUUUGGUGACAGAAGCAAAGGUAAAGGUUGUUCAAAGAAAGAAUUAUUUUUGCAUACCUUGGCCUUUGGAGAUCUAAAAUGAAUGAGAAAUGUUGAACAUUUUAUGAAAAUCAGGUUCUCUUGCAUUAUGAUUAUUACUAAGUCUAAAAUUAAUUUUUUUGGAUUUUUGAAUUUUAACAGGAUAAGACAACUAUAUACUGUAUACAGAAGAAGUUGUGAUUUUUUGGGUAUGUAUUCUUUGCCAAAUCCUGUUAAAAUACAAACAUUUUAAUUUUAGGAUCAGCACCAAUAAUUUGUGCUGCAAUUUGUCCCAUGCUUACUUUGUACAGAACAUUGAGGGCAAAGUAGCUUACUUUUAUUUAUUUUUUUAUUUGUCUCUACCAAAAUGAUAAAACCUAAAUGUAAAAAAACAUCCCAUACCUAUCUUAUACUGUGUGGUUCUGAUUUUAAAUAUUUCUUAUGCUUAGUGAAGAGGUGGUGUGACUCCUUUAGUUAGUUCACAUUUGAUUUGUUUUUUUGUAAUUCAAGUAAAGGGGUUAAUAUUGUAUAAGGACAUGCCUGUUGCCUUCCUGAUGCUGAUCGGUUGCCUCUAGAUAUUCAGUAGCCCAGGGGCCAGUCAUCAUCUUCAUGUUAGUAAAGGUGCCAAGAGGUGACUAUCCCAUCAGUUUUGUCAGUUGACCAUCACUUCUGCCUUGUGUGGUGAGAAUGGGGGGUGGGGAGGGGCAUAAUGUAUCCAGGUAAAACUCAUUUGCGAUAUGCAUAUGUAUAUGAUAGGUUACAUACCAUUUUUCACCACAUGAGGGUGCAUACAAACAGCGUAAUCACUGCACAAAAAAUAGACACGUCUGAAUUAUCUGAUAGUGGCUUUUAGGGUAACCAGAUAUAAAGGCUCCUAUGCACCUAAGAGUUCUGUAAAAGAGGGUCAAGCAGGUGCAACUUUUCUCCGUUCUGGUAGAGAUGCUUCACCUCUUGAAGUUAAGUUCACAUAUAGAAUCUUAUCUAGGAACCCGGCCUUCCUUUGCAUCUUAAUUAUUUUUACAUUUUUUAU